CCAGGCUCUGACCACUUGCAGCAGAUGGCUUUGCAACCAGACCCCAACCUCCCCAGGCAGGGAAGGCAGGCAGACUGGGGGAAGCAGCCCCCUCGCCCCACCUGCCCUGGAGCCAGAGGAGCCGCCCUCCCACCACCCAACCCCCACGCCGACCCGGGAAGCGCACGAACGGGGACGGUGCGGCUACCCGCUCGCGGCGAGAGCAGCAGCACCCUCAGGCCCUCCCGUGAGACGGCGGCAGCUGCAGCAGCGGCGCUGGGAAAGGCGGGAAUGAUCCUGAGAGGCAGAGGGGGAGGCCGGGGCGGGAGCGACUGCAUGUGGGGCUGCACUGGAGGGAGGCGGAGGCGCUCAGGGGGCUCGGCUUUUUUUACGAUUAUCAUCAUCAUCAUCUCGUUUUACCUGUGGCGCAGAAAGGCUCCCCAGCUCCUACUCCCUGAAUCCUCCUCCUCCUCCCCUCCUCUUUCUCUCUCUCUCCCUCAGUCUCUGCCGGGCGCUCGCGGAACCAGCCGGGCCCGGCCCGACCAGAAAGAGAACAGGGCGGGAGGGGGCGGCGGCGGCGGUGACCAGCGACCACGUGACCACGCUCGCGUAACGGCGGCCGCCUCCUGCCGCGCGCCCUCGCCGCGCUCCACCUCUAAUAACCCCGCGGCUCAAGCGCCCAGGACGCUGGUGCGCAGGCGCCCACCCAGCCUGGAGGCUGCGCGGGCGCGCAACGCGCUCGCUCUCGGGGCCCAGUCUAUGGGACCACGCGAGGCACGACGUGGGGAGUGAGCCGCAGGCCAAACCCUCUGCGGAGCCGGCCGGCUACCAGUACGCAUGCGCGGGAGGGCUUGUUCCACCCCCCCUCCCAAACUUUCUCCUUGUCCUCUCUCUUGCGCCCCAACCUGCGCGCAGCUGUAGCCUUAGGAACCUGGUACCGAGACUUCACCACUCACACCCACCACCAACUCCCCAGGGUGGGACUGAGAGUAAGAGAUGUCAGCCCCUGAGAAACUCCUAAUAGGCUGGCCCUCCUACCUCAUAAUUUACAUUUCCUAGUUGCGUGUAAAUGGCCUGCUGGGCGUUUUUUUACAGCUGAGUAGACUCCUAUUCAUGCUUCAGGACCCAGCCUGUAACUUACUCUGAAACAUACUCUACUCUACUUUGGGGAAGUCAUUAACAUUUUAUGCAGAUCUACUUUGUUAUAACCCAUAUAAGUUUUGUUUUGUUUUGUUUUGUUUCACAAAUCCGCAAUACUAGGCUCAGAUUUUAUCUCUACUCUAAAAACCUAGGACAGUAUGUGUCUUCAGCAUUGUGGUAUCUCAGUAAAAUUCGGAUGACUGUCAGAACACAGGCAAUGCCUAAACUCUAGGUCUUUGUCCUCCACCUCUACUUACUCAUGAUUUAAGAUUUCCUUUAGCCUUAGCAUAUGGAAUGCUGGUGUUUGUUUCUCGAAAAUGAAAGCCUUUAAAUGGGAAUGCCAAUUAGAGUGGUAAAUGCUUCACCUAGUAAAAAAGAUUUAUGGUCUUUUAUUGGCCUAUCUUCACAAAGAGCUCCAAAACAAAUUGAUAGUGUUGAGUCCAGAAGAAGGGAACCAAGAAAGAAAAAGGUCAAAUUUUCAAAGGUUAGCUAGCCUCCGUGGAGGGUCCCUGUGUGGGAGACCUUUGUUCAAAAUCCUUCCCUUUGCACAGGGAUUCCCUCGAUUUCUGUUGGCCCUCUUUGUUGCAGGAGCUAGACAGGUCAACUUAAUGCCUCUUGCCAAGUCUAAUCAGGGCAAAUAAUUAAAAUGUAAAAACUUACUAAAUAUCAUUUCUGGCUAAGUCCUGUCAUUGUUACCAUUAAAUGGGGUGAAUACCUAGAUUCUGUUUAGGAACUAUAACUAGCAACAAAAUUCCAGAAAAUGUUGGGAUAAAUGCUAAGCAAGAAACAGUAUUUACAAGGGCUUCUGAGAAACUAGGAAAAUCACAGCCCUCAAGCCUCCAAUCUGAUAGGUCUGAAAUGUUGAUGGACUUUUUUCUACAUUUACCAAUAUAGAUGCACACAGUGAUCCCACCUGAUAGUGGCAGCUACCACCCAGGAUAUGCUAGUAGCACCCCAUUCUAAAUACAUCCAGUCCAAGGUUCAGACUCUAUGAGAGACUAUAUUUUGGAGGCCUAUGAUAAACCCCAAUAUCCAUGUGCUUGUGUAAUACUCUCCCCUUGAAUCUAGGCUGGAUUAAACAAUAGAAUGUGGCAAAAUGACUGCCAGUUCCAGGCUGAAGCCAUAAGAAGUCUUUGCAGUGACAACACUGAAAUUUUCUGGAACCUGUACUCAUGGAAAACAGAAAUGAUUAAGAAACCCCCCACCUGUUUGUGUUCUGGGAAACGGCUUACCACAAAGAACCACCCUUCUCGUUUUAUUUUUGACAACAGCUUCUGUUUUUGCCCUUUGGAAGAAGAACCAUGAAAGAAAUCUAACUACUUCAAGACUGCCAUGCUGUCAGAAGUCUCACCUAGCCGUUUCAAGAGGCCAAAGAGAGGAAAACUUGAGGACCUGGGCUAAUCACCCCAGUGCUCCCUUUGGACACAACACAACCUACCACACAUGUGAGUGAGUGAGCCAUCUUAGAAGUGGAUUCUCCAGCCCCAUCAAGUUGCCCCAGUUGAUGCCACAUGGAACAGAGAUGAGCUAUUCUCCACCAUGCCCAAAUUGUAGAAUUAUGGACAAAUAAAUAAAAGUGUCAUGUUAAACCAGUUUCGUGGUAGGUAGAUAGUUAGCAAUAAGUAACCAGAGUAUCCACCUGUCUGCUAGAGAUGUGUUCCAAGUGUCCUCACAGGCAACUCAAACCCAACCUGCUCAAACUGAGUUUUGCAAAUCUCCAAACCUGCCUCUGUCUUUUGCUGGUAGUGCAUUCAUCCCCCUGAGACUCCAAACAGACAACCUGGGAGCUUCCCCUGACUCCUCUUUAUCCUGCCACAUUCAGUCACCAGGUAAUGGGCUUUUUUUCUCCAGCUUCAUGUGCAUCUCACCUCAGAUCCUCUUCAUCACUCUCCUGAAUUACUGAGUACUGAGAAUUAGUCAGGUUUUUCCAUGUUGCAAGGAAGUGUCAUACAUGUACCCAGAUUACCUUAGAGGUUUAUUGUGGGGUAGGGACUGAAGAGAUGUGGAAAACCAGCCCAGUCAUCUUCCAUCACCUAUUUUGGGUGGU
RNA transcript from Mustela lutreola (European mink), 3166 nucleotides. RefSeq lists it as uncharacterized. The transcript is spliced from 2 exons. The record is from RefSeq and is a predicted model, not a curated record. NCBI's taxonomy places the organism in Eukaryota, Metazoa, Chordata, Mammalia, Carnivora, Mustelidae.